ACGAACGCUGGCGGCGUGCCUCAUACAUGCAAGUAGAACGCUGAAGGAGGAGCUUGCUCUUCUGGAUGAGUUGCGAACGGGUGAGUAACGCGUAGGUAACCUGCCUGUUAGCGGGGGAUAACUAUUGGAAACGAUAGCUAAUACCGCAUAAGAGUAGAUGUUGCAUGACAUUUACUUAAAAGGUGCAAUUGCAUCACUACCAGAUGGACCUGCGUUGUAUUAGCUAGUUGGUGGGGUAACGGCUUACCAAGGCGACGAUACAUAGCCGACCUGAGAGGGUGAUCGGCCACACUGGGACUGAGACACGGCCCAGACUCCUACGGGAGGCAGCAGUAGGGAAUCUUCGGCAAUGGACGGAAGUCUGACCGAGCAACGCCGCGUGAGUGAAGAAGGUUUUCGGAUCGUAAAGCUCUGUUGUAAGAGAAGAACGAGUGUGAGAGUGGAAAGUUCACACUGUGACGGUAUCUUACCAGAAAGGGACGGCUAACUACGUG
Molecule: ribosomal RNA, 494 nt
Filed under: uncultured bacterium
Lineage: Bacteria
Description: partial 16S ribosomal RNA
Rfam family: Bacterial small subunit ribosomal RNA
Source: RNAcentral